GCCCACUCUCCACCACCCAGUUCUGAAUCUGCUUGGAUUGCUGCCUGGGUCCAGUUUGUUACGGCAGCCAUGACAGAGAAACGGGAUAAACAGCAGAAAAGACAAGAAUAAAAGGACAGACCGUGAGCAGAAAAACACUGCAUCAUCAACUGCUGCACCUGUCGUCACCACCAGCACCAACUUCAAGGCCUCCUCUCCCUUCACUGCUGGGCAUGCGGCCGUCCUCCAUUGCAGCCAGCCUCCUGUUCUGCCCUGUUGCCGCUGCUGGGAUCAUAGCUGGCCUCCUGUUCUGUCUAGUCCCCACCGCUUGGACACGCGGCUGUCCCCCUCAACUGCUUUAUCGUGUUUGCCAUUGGCCAUGUGGCAGGCCCCCUGCACUGAGUCAUGUGCACUGCUGGCACCGUGGCUAGC
Molecule: long non-coding RNA, 411 nt
Organism: Archocentrus centrarchus (flier cichlid)
Lineage: Eukaryota; Metazoa; Chordata; Actinopteri; Cichliformes; Cichlidae
Exons: 3
Source: RefSeq, a predicted model, not a curated record